ACUGAAAAAAUUUCUGUGCAAUUCAGAAUACUUUGAAAAUUUUAUCAUUGCUGUGUGUUUUAGGAAAAAUAAUUUUAGUGUUGAAGUUUAGUAGUUAGUAAUGAAAUAUAGAAUUUUGCGAUAGUAAAAAAGUACUGAGAAGGAAAUGUGAAAUAUAAUGAAAAUCUAAUUUUAAAAAAGCAGAUAUUAGUAAUCGUACCUUGUGUAUCAGGGAAUAAUAAAUAAAAUUUCUAGAUAGAAAUUUCCCAAAAGAGAAAGAUCUAAGUUUUUAUAAUUGUUUCUGUGUCAUUAUAAUUUUAAAUAAAAACUUUGGUGUGAAAUAUUACUCGGUUUCUCUAAUAUUUGGUUUCUUAAGAAUUAAAUUCAAUUUAGGCUUAUUCUUAUUUAAAUUUAUUUUGUUAAUUUAUAUAUAGUAAGACUUAGGGUUAGAGGGAUUAGCUUUUUACCCAAUUAAAAUUUAGGUAUAAAUUAUUAAUUUAAUAAAAUGCUUAUAUGCUUAGAAAUAGCAAUUAAUAAAAAUUAUGUUAUAAUUUGCAUUUUAAUAAUAAUUAUUUAAUAAUAAUUUACUUGAUUUAUUAAGAUAAAAUCUUAAAUAAUUUAAGAUUAGAAAUAAUAUUAUUAUGAGUAGAAAAAUUAUUAGAAUUUUUACAUUGUAUAAAUAUAAUAAAGGAACUCGGCAAAUAUAUUUUUCGCCUGUUUAUCAAAAACAUCUCCUCAAGAAUUAAUUUGAGGUAUAGCCUGCUCUAUGAAUUUUUUUAAAUGGCCGCGGUAUUUUGACCGUGCGAAGGUAGCAUAAUCAUUAGUCUUUUAAUUGGAGGCUGGUAUGAAUGGCUGGACGAGAAAAUUUCUGUCUCUAUUAUAAAUUUUGAAUUUUAUUUUUAAGUGAAAAAGCUUAAAUUCAUUUGAGGGACGAUAAGACCCUAUGGAUCUUUAUAAUGAUAAAUGGCAAAAAGGUUGGGUGUAACAGCUUGUAGUUUUAAUUUAUUAGGUUGGGGCGACCGGAAGAAAAAAAUAUCUCUUCUUAAAUAAAAUAUUUUUUAAUAGAAAAAAGAUGACCCUGAAUUUUGGUUUAAAAGACUAAGUUACCCUAGGGAUAACAGCGUAAUCUUUUUGGAGAGUUCAUAUCGAUAAAAAGGUUUGCGACCUCGAUGUUGGAUUAAGAGAUCCUUGCGGCGCAGCCGUUGUAAAGGAGAGUCUGUUCGACUUUUAAUUUCUUACAUGAUCUGAGUUCAAACCGGCGUGAGCCAGGUUGGUUUCUAUCUUCAAAUUUUGAAUUUCAUUUUAGUACGAAAGGAUUAAAUGGAAAAAGAAUGUUUAUUUAAAGAUUUAAAUUAAUUAAUAUUACUAACUUGGCAGAGAAGUGCUAUAGAUUUAGAAUCUAUU
This 1383-nucleotide ribosomal RNA is filed under the name Triops australiensis. RNAcentral describes it as "l-rRNA". The stretch from base 649 to 1383 matches the Rfam family "Archaeal large subunit ribosomal RNA", at positions 1423 to 2908 of the family's 2987-position model. Lineage: Eukaryota; Metazoa; Arthropoda; Branchiopoda; Notostraca; Triopsidae. The record is from RNAcentral.